This 88-nucleotide transfer RNA is filed under the name Bryobacteraceae bacterium. Its description in RNAcentral is "tRNA-Leu". It matches the Rfam family "tRNA". From Rfam's summary of the family: Transfer RNA (tRNA) molecules are approximately 80 nucleotides in length. Their secondary structure includes four short double-helical elements and three loops (D, anti-codon, and T loops). Lineage: Bacteria; Pseudomonadati; Acidobacteriota; Terriglobia; Bryobacterales; Bryobacteraceae. The record is from RNAcentral.
GCCGGAGUGGCGAAAUGGCAGACGCAGCAGACUCAAAAUCUGCCUACGCGGAAGCGUAGUGUGGGUUCAAGUCCCACCUCCGGCACCA